RNAcentral lists this ribosomal RNA (245 nucleotides) under Providencia rettgeri. RNAcentral's name for it is "partial 23S ribosomal RNA". The record is from RNAcentral. Lineage: Bacteria; Pseudomonadati; Pseudomonadota; Gammaproteobacteria; Enterobacterales; Morganellaceae.
GGUUAAGCGACUAAGCGUACACGGUGGAUGCCUAGGCAAUCAGAGGCGAUGAAGGACGUGCUAAUCUGCGAUAAGCGUCGGUAAGGUGAUAUGAACCGUUACAACCGACGAUUUCCGAAUGGGGAAACCCAGUGCAAUYCGUUGCACUAUCGUUUGAUGAAUACAUAGUCAAACGAAGCGAACCGGGGGAACUGAAACAUCUCAGUACCCCGAGGAAAAGAAAUCAACCGAGAUUCCCCUAGUAG